This 78-nucleotide transfer RNA is filed under the name Pollicipes pollicipes. RNAcentral's name for it is "tRNA-Val". It matches the Rfam family "tRNA". From Rfam's summary of the family: Transfer RNA (tRNA) molecules are approximately 80 nucleotides in length. Their secondary structure includes four short double-helical elements and three loops (D, anti-codon, and T loops). Lineage: Eukaryota; Metazoa; Arthropoda; Thecostraca; Pollicipedomorpha; Pollicipedidae. The record is from RNAcentral.
GUUUCCGUAGUGUAGUGUAGUGGUUAUCACGUCCGCUUCACACGCGGAAGGUCCCCGGUUCGAGCCCGGGCGGAAACA